UACGGGGGGGGCUAGCGUUGUUCGGAAUUACUGGGCGUAAAGCGUGCGUAGGUGGUUUGUUAAGUCUGAUGUGAAAGCCCUGGGCUCAACCUGGGAAUUGCAUUGGAUACUGGCAGGCUAGAGUGCGGUAGAGGGUAGUGGAAUUCCCGGUGUAGCAGUGAAAUGCGUAGAGAUCGGGAGGAACAUCCGUGGCGAAGGCGACUACCUGGACCAGCACUGACACUGAGGCACGAAAGCGUGGGGAGCAAACAGG
This 253-nucleotide ribosomal RNA is filed under the name uncultured bacterium. Its description in RNAcentral is "partial 16S ribosomal RNA". It matches the Rfam family "Bacterial small subunit ribosomal RNA", at positions 524 to 776 of the family's 1533-position model. The record is from RNAcentral.